CAGCCGUAAACUAUGCGCGUUAGGUGUACUGGUGACCACGAGUCACCGGGGUGCCGAAGGGAAACCGUGAAACGUGCCGCCUGGGAAGUACGGUCGCAAGGCUGAAACUUAAGGAAUUGGCGGGGGAGCACCACAACGGGAGGAGCCUGCGGUUUAAUUGGAUUCAACACCGGAAACUCACCAGGGGAGACUGUUACAUGAAACCCAGACUAAUGAUCUUGGUUGAUUUCAGAGAGGUGGUGCAUGGCGUCAAUGACU
Molecule: ribosomal RNA, 258 nt
Filed under: uncultured archaeon
Lineage: Archaea
Description: partial 16S ribosomal RNA
Rfam family: Archaeal small subunit ribosomal RNA
Source: RNAcentral